GUCCAGACUCCUACGGGAGGCAGCAGUGGGGAAUAUUGCACAAUGGGGGAAACCCUGAUGCAGCAACGCCGCGUGAAGGAAGACGGUUUUCGGAUUGUAAACUUCUGUUCUUAGUGAAGAAGAAUGACGGUAGCUAAGGAGCAAGCCACGGCUAACUACGUGCCAGCAGCCGCGGUAAUACGUAGGGGGCAAGCGUUAUCCGGAUUUACUGGGUGUAAAGGGGGCGCAGACGGCGAUGCAAGCCAGGAGUGAAAGACCGGGGGCCAACCCCGGGACUGCUCUUGGAACUGCGUGGCUGGAGUGCAGGAGGGGCAGGCGGAAUUCCUGGUGUAGCGGUGAAAUGCGUAGAUAUCAGGAGGAACACCGGUGGCGAAGGCGGCCUGCUGGACUGCAACUGACGUUGAGGCCCGAAAGCGUGGGGAGCAAACAGGAUUAGAGACCCGCGUAAAC
This 450-nucleotide ribosomal RNA is filed under the name uncultured bacterium. RNAcentral describes it as "bacterial SSU rRNA". It matches the Rfam family "Bacterial small subunit ribosomal RNA", at positions 329 to 795 of the family's 1533-position model. The record is from RNAcentral.